This 433-nucleotide ribosomal RNA is filed under the name uncultured bacterium. Its description in RNAcentral is "partial 16S ribosomal RNA". It matches the Rfam family "Bacterial small subunit ribosomal RNA", at positions 29 to 507 of the family's 1533-position model. The record is from RNAcentral.
AACGAACGCUGGCGGCAUGCCUAACACAUGCCAGUCGAACGAGACCUCCGGGUCUAGUGGCGCAUGGGUGCGUCACGCGUGGGAAGCUGCCCUUAGGUUCGGAAUAACUCCCCGAAAGGGGUGCUAAUACCGGAUAAUGUCUGCGAACCAAAGAUAUAUCGCCCUUGGAUGGGCCCGCGUUGGAUUAGCUUUUUGGUAGGGUAAAAGCCUACCACGGCGACGAUCCAUAGCUGGGAUGAGAGGAUGGUCAGCCACACUGGGACUGAGACACGGCCGAGAAUCCUACGGGAGGGAGGAGUGGGUGAUAUUGGACAAUGGCGGGAAGGAUGAACCAGCUAUGCCGGGUGAGUGAUGAAGGCCGUAAGGAAGAAAAGCUCUUUUACCCGGGAUGAUAAUGACGGUACCGAGAGAAUAAGCUCCGGCUAACUCCGUG